AAGGGAACAGGGCCACUGUGGGGAAGCACAGGCGGUCAGAGGCCCCAGGCCAAUGGUGUGUCUUUUCUGAAGAGCCCUUCUCUGAGAUUCCCACAAACGCAAUCAACAGGACAAGGUUAAAAGGCAAAGGCUUUCUCAAAACACAUUCUUUUGAAAUGCUAAAUGAUAUGGCCAAAGAAGAGCUCAAUUUUCCUCUCAGGACCUCUAUUAUGGAAGAUUUUUAAACAAUCUGCUGACUUAUGAACCCUGAACUCAUGCAGAAGUGAAGGUGAGGCAGCCUCUGAGAACAAAAGCAGAAGAGUUUGAAUUGGGUCAAGUGCACUAGCUCCUGGGUCACUACUGUGAAGCACUCAACUUUCACACCGAUGCUGACAGUCUGGUUUGUUUAAAAAAGAAGAGAAUGAGGAAAGCCAUCGCAGCUUCUUCUCACAGUUACGGUUUGCUCGUUGUCUUGAUAUGGAUCUUCAGUCUGGGUACAGACAUCACAGGGUCUCUUGCACAGUUCUGGAGGGAGCAGGUUGAAGCUUACAUACAAACGCAAGCUGAACCCUUGGAGAAAGUAGAAGUCUGGAUUCAGACAAAGCAAGAUUCAAAUCCCUGCUCUAC
Molecule: long non-coding RNA, 606 nt
Organism: Marmota flaviventris (yellow-bellied marmot)
Lineage: Eukaryota; Metazoa; Chordata; Mammalia; Rodentia; Sciuridae
Source: RefSeq, a predicted model, not a curated record